This 460-nucleotide ribosomal RNA is filed under the name uncultured bacterium. Its description in RNAcentral is "partial 16S ribosomal RNA". It matches the Rfam family "Bacterial small subunit ribosomal RNA", at positions 338 to 795 of the family's 1533-position model. The record is from RNAcentral.
CCUACGGGAGGCAGCAGUGAGGAAUAUUGGUCAAUGGCCGGAAGGCUGAACCAGCCAUGCCGCGUGAAGGUCAGUGCCCUAUGGGCGUUAAACUUCUUUUGUGCGGGAGCAAUAAUGGUCACGUGUGGCCAGACGAGAGUACCGUACGAAUAAGCAUCUGCUAACUCCGUGCCAGCAGCCGCGGUAAUACGGGGGAUGCAAGCGUUAUCCGGAGUUAUUGGGUUUAAAGGGUGCGUAGGCUGUGAGGUAAGUCAGCGGUGAAAUGCCCCCGCUCAACGGGGUGAAGUGCCAUUGAUACUGCCUGGCUGGAAUGCGGAUGCAGUGGGAGGAAUGUGUGGUGUAGCGGUGAAAUGCAUAGAUAUCACACAGAACACCGAGUGCGAAGGCAUCUCACGAAUCCGCGAUUGACGCUGAUGCACGAAAGCGUGGGUAUCAAACAGGAUUAGAUACCCGAGUAGUC